GAUGAACGCUGGCGGCGUGCCUAAUACAUGCAAGUCGAGCGAACAGACGAGGAGCUUGCUCCUCUGACGUUAGCGGCGGACGGGUGAGUAACACGUGGAUAACCUACCUAUAAGACUGGGAUAACUUCGGGAAACCGGAGCUAAUACCGGAUAAUAUAUUGAACCGCAUGGUUCAAUAGUGAAAGACGGUUUUGCUGUCACUUAUAGAUGGAUCCGCGCCGCAUUAGCUAGUUGGUAAGGUAACGGCUUACCAAGGCAACGAUGCGUAGCCGACCUGAGAGGGGGAUCGGCCACAUUGGAACUGAGCCACGGUCCAGACUCCUACGGGAGGCAGCAGUAGGGAAUGUUCCGCAAUGGGCGAAAGCCUGACGGAGCAACGCCGCGUGAGUGAUGAAGGUCUUCGGAUCGUAAAACUCUGUUAUUAGGGAAGAACAAAUGUGUAAGUAACUAUGCACGUCUUGACGGUACCUAAUCAGAAAGCCACGGCUAACUACGUG
This 497-nucleotide ribosomal RNA is filed under the name uncultured bacterium. RNAcentral's name for it is "partial 16S ribosomal RNA". It matches the Rfam family "Bacterial small subunit ribosomal RNA", at positions 28 to 507 of the family's 1533-position model. The record is from RNAcentral.